Molecule: ribosomal RNA, 1545 nt
Filed under: Pectobacterium parmentieri
Lineage: Bacteria; Pseudomonadati; Pseudomonadota; Gammaproteobacteria; Enterobacterales; Pectobacteriaceae
Description: bacterial SSU rRNA
Rfam family: Bacterial small subunit ribosomal RNA
Source: RNAcentral
AAAUUGAAGAGUUUGAUCAUGGCUCAGAUUGAACGCUGGCGGCAGGCCUAACACAUGCAAGUCGAGCGGUAGCACAGAAGAGCUUGCUCUUCGGGUGACGAGCGGCGGACGGGUGAGUAAUGUCUGGGAAACUGCCUGAUGGAGGGGGAUAACUACUGGAAACGGUAGCUAAUACCGCAUAACGUCUUCGGACCAAAGAGGGGGACCUUCGGGCCUCUUGCCAUCGGAUGUGCCCAGAUGGGAUUAGCUAGUAGGUGAGGUAAUGGCUCACCUAGGCGACGAUCCCUAGCUGGUCUGAGAGGAUGACCAGCCACACUGGAACUGAGACACGGUCCAGACUCCUACGGGAGGCAGCAGUGGGGAAUAUUGCACAAUGGGCGCAAGCCUGAUGCAGCCAUGCCGCGUGUGUGAAGAAGGCCUUCGGGUUGUAAAGCACUUUCAGCGGGGAGGAAGGCGAUAAGGUUAAUAACCUUGUCGAUUGACGUUACCCGCAGAAGAAGCACCGGCUAACUCCGUGCCAGCAGCCGCGGUAAUACGGAGGGUGCAAGCGUUAAUCGGAAUGACUGGGCGUAAAGCGCACGCAGGCGGUCUGUUAAGUUGGAUGUGAAAUCCCCGGGCUUAACCUGGGAACUGCAUUCAAAACUGACAGGCUAGAGUCUUGUAGAGGGGGGUAGAAUUCCAGGUGUAGCGGUGAAAUGCGUAGAGAUCUGGAGGAAUACCGGUGGCGAAGGCGGCCCCCUGGACAAAGACUGACGCUCAGGUGCGAAAGCGUGGGGAGCAAACAGGAUUAGAUACCCUGGUAGUCCACGCUGUAAACGAUGUCGACUUGGAGGUUGUGCCCUUGAGGCGUGGCUUCCGGAGCUAACGCGUUAAGUCGACCGCCUGGGGAGUACGGCCGCAAGGUUAAAACUCAAAUGAAUUGACGGGGGCCCGCACAAGCGGUGGAGCAUGUGGUUUAAUUCGAUGCAACGCGAAGAACCUUACCUACUCUUGACAUCCAGAGAAUUUGCUAGAGAUAGCUUAGUGCCUUCGGGAACUCUGAGACAGGUGCUGCAUGGCUGUCGUCAGCUCGUGUUGUGAAAUGUUGGGUUAAGUCCCGCAACGAGCGCAACCCUUAUCCUUUGUUGCCAGCACGUAAUGGUGGGAACUCAAAGGAGACUGCCGGUGAUAAACCGGAGGAAGGUGGGGAUGACGUCAAGUCAUCAUGGCCCUUACGAGUAGGGCUACACACGUGCUACAAUGGCGUAUACAAAGAGAAGCGACCUCGCGAGAGCAAGCGGACCUCAUAAAGUACGUCGUAGUCCGGAUUGGAGUCUGCAACUCGACUCCAUGAAGUCGGAAUCGCUAGUAAUCGUAGAUCAGAAUGCUACGGUGAAUACGUUCCCGGGCCUUGUACACACCGCCCGUCACACCAUGGGAGUGGGUUGCAAAAGAAGUAGGUAGCUUAACCUUCGGGAGGGCGCUUACCACUUUGUGAUUCAUGACUGGGGUGAAGUCGUAACAAGGUAACCGUAGGGGAACCUGCGGUUGGAUCACCUCCUUACC